GCCGCGGCGAGCUGUGCUUCCGGCGGGGCUAUGGAGGCAUCGGGCUGGGCAGGCGAAUUUUGGGGAGGAGGUGGCGUGCGCUCUGCCAAUUCGUCGCCGUGCUUAACUGCUUGUGGCUUGGGGAACGCAACGAAGGAAAAUUUUUUGAGGGUCGUAUAAGGAACUGGUAUUUGUUUUGGUGUCAUAUAAGGAAUUCUGUCUAGCAGCUUUGGUAUCCUCUUCGUAAUCAUUUGUGUUUUCCAUGUAACCCAUCACAGUAGCCUCAUUUGCCAACCCGAGUAAAAGUUCUCAUCAAUAUUGAAAUGUAACUCAAAGGAAAGUAUGC
This 325-nucleotide long non-coding RNA is filed under the name Panicum hallii. RNAcentral's name for it is "long non-coding RNA (PHAL_LNC000355)". The record is from RNAcentral. Lineage: Eukaryota; Viridiplantae; Streptophyta; Magnoliopsida; Poales; Poaceae.